RNAcentral lists this long non-coding RNA (507 nucleotides) under Vulpes vulpes (red fox). RNAcentral describes it as "lncRNA (ENSVVUG00000002007.1)". Lineage: Eukaryota; Metazoa; Chordata; Mammalia; Carnivora; Canidae. The record is from RNAcentral.
CUUAAUCUUCAGAAAAUAUCUUGGUUAUUCUUUGUCCUUUUUUUCUUUCCAUAUGAAUUUUCAGAUCAGCUUAUAAGCUUUUCACAAACCCCUGUUGAAAUUUUGAAUGUAAUUGAAGCUUCAGAGUUCUCUAACAGGAAUUUUCCCACUUCAUUUUCCAGAAGAAACUCUAAAGGAGAAAAUACAUCAUUUCAUUAAGUAUCGCGCAUCUCAGGAAACCAAUAUCCAGUAGUUGCUGUCUAAAUACCAAAAGCUUCUGCACGUGAGAUAUCAGGUUCAAUGUUUUCACUUCCUCCCAGGUAUACAGUGACUCACGGGAUGAAGCAGGAGCACAGUGCACUGAUGGAAACAACUAUAAAGUGGUGUUUAUGAAGUUGCCUAGACAAGGAUAUAAUGAGGUUGGGUUUUGAAAUUUCCUUCCUAUUGGAGUUACAUUAUAAAGCACAAGGUUAAAUUCAAGUCUUCAGAGUGAUGAUGAAAAUUUACAACUCUCAGGGACAAUUUUAG